This 1230-nucleotide long non-coding RNA is filed under the name Canis lupus familiaris (dog). RNAcentral's name for it is "lncRNA (ENSCAFG00845001103.1)". Lineage: Eukaryota; Metazoa; Chordata; Mammalia; Carnivora; Canidae. The record is from RNAcentral.
UUAGGACCAAAGAAGUUUAUAUUUAUUUUAAAUAUCAAAAUAACACAAAGAACUAGUUCAAUAUACAAUACACUUCCUAGUCUUCACAGAGAACUGAAUUUUUCUAUAAAGACAUUUGUAUUUAUGAAACAUGAGACAGCUAAAAUAUCUAUGUAACACAAGAUACUUCACACACAGUUGACAAAAUAAUGAAUUUUGAUAUUUUAGAUUUUUCUUUGUAAUUGCUUUUAAGUGUCCUUUAAUGAUUAAAAACAAAACUUAUGAUUUGAGACUGAAGGCUAAGUUUAAAAGCAUUUCCACUUUAAUGUACAUCAUGAAUCCCCUUAAUCAGAACACUUACUACACAACAUAGAGCAGCUAAAUGCUCACCUCUGUACUCAUUCUUUUUGGCAGCCACACUCAUCUAUUGUAAUACAGUUGUAUCUAUAGGGAUAAGAAAAGUCCAAUUGUUGGAAGAAAUAAAAAUUUUGUAAUUACACCACAGUACACUGUCCAACUUUAACGCAAGCAGGAAUAUCAAGCAAAGAGGCAAAAUAACAAUGGGAAGUAUACAUGCUCUUCAUUCAAGAAAUGUUUUAGACUCUCCAACAAUAAUGCAAGCACUGAAAUUACUUUUUACUUAAGAAUUUAAAAAAAGAUAUGUCCGUCUUUGUAUAACUUCUAUUCUCGGAAUAUAAUUCUUAUUUUCUCUUUGUAUAAAUGGCUGCAGAGGCUAAAUUUAAAUUGUCUUGAGAUUCUUCAAUAGUCAUAGAUUUAAAAUCAAUACAUAGCAAGGUGAAUGAAACAUGAAGAGUAAACAAAACAUAGUCACUCUCUCUACCAAGACCUUCUUUCUCUCAUCUUCCACACAACCUAAUCCUAUUACUUCUAUCUUAUUAAUGCUACUUCCAAAGGGAAGAGCAGAAAGCAUGCUAAUAUUCUAGGAUAAAAGGAUCUUUAAGUUGAAAUAACAUUAGAGGAAACAAGGGGCUGAUCCCAAAAGAACACUAUAGAUUUUACUGAGAGGAAUGUGCAAAAGGGGGAGGAUCUAUGGAAGGAUUGCCUAUAGGUCCUAGAAAUUAUUUAGAAAAUUACUCUAUUAUCCAUUAUUCACUGUAAUCACAAGUAACAUUUAUCAUAAUAGUAUUUAAAAAGUUUUAGAAAUGCUACUUGUUCCUUAUUAAAGAAUACAUUUUUAGUCACUUCAAAUUUGGCACUGAAUCUUAGAACAAUCCAAAUAUGACUUUAAAA